GUAGGUGGCAAGCGUUGUCCGGAAUUAUUGGGCGUAAAGCGCGCGCAGGUGGUUCUUUAAGUCUGAUGUGAAAGCCCCCGGCUCAACCGGGGAGGGUCAUUGGAAACUGGGGAACUUGAGUGCAGGAGAGGAAAGUGGAAUUCCACGUGUAGCGGUGAAAUGCGUAGAUAUGUGGAGGAACACCAGUGGCGAAUGCGACUUUCUGGCCUGUAACUGACACUGAGGCGCGAAAGCGUGGGGAGCAAACAGGGAUUAGAUACCCUGGUAGUCCACGCCGUAAACGAUGAGUGCUAAGUGUUGGGGGGGUUUUCCGCCCCCUCAGUGCUGCAGCUAACGCAUUAAGCACUCCGCCUGGGAGUACGGUCGCAAGACUG
Molecule: ribosomal RNA, 374 nt
Filed under: uncultured organism
Description: partial 16S ribosomal RNA
Rfam family: Bacterial small subunit ribosomal RNA
Source: RNAcentral